This 404-nucleotide ribosomal RNA is filed under the name Fusobacteriota bacterium. RNAcentral's name for it is "Fusobacteria bacterium partial 16S ribosomal RNA". It matches the Rfam family "Bacterial small subunit ribosomal RNA", at positions 355 to 776 of the family's 1533-position model. The record is from RNAcentral. Lineage: Bacteria; Fusobacteriati; Fusobacteriota.
UGGGGAAUAUUGCACAAUGGAGGGAACUCUGAUGCAGCGACGCCGCGUGAGUGAUGAAGGAAUUCGUUUCGUAAAACUCUGUUCUAUGGGAAGAAAAGGACUGUACCAUAGGAGAAAGCUCCGGCUAAAUACGUGCCAGCAGCCGCGGUAAUACGUAUGGAGCGAGUGUUGUCCGGAAUUAUUGGGCGUAAAGGGUGCGCAGGCGGCUUUACAAGUUGGAUGUGAAAUAUUGUGGCUCAACCACAAACGUGCAUCCAAAACUGCAAAGCUUGAGUUAAGGAGAGGUAAGUGGAAUUCCUGGUGUAGCGGUGGAAUGCGUAGAUAUCAGGAGGAAUACCGGUGGCGAAGGCGACUUACUGGACUUAAACUGACGCUCAGGCACGAAAGCGUGGGGAGCAAACAGG